ACGGAGGGUGCGAGCGUUAUUCGGAAUCACUGGGCGUAAAGCGCACGUAGGCGGUGUCGUAAGUCGGAUGUGAAAGCCCCCGGCUCAACCGGGGAACUGCAUUGGAUACUGCGAUGCUUGAGUGCCGGAGAGGGUGGCGGAAUUCCAGGUGUAGGGGUGAAAUCCGUAGAGAUCGGGAGGAACACCAGUGGCGAAGGCGCCCUCCUGGACGGAAACUGACGCUGAGGUGCGAAAGCGUGGGGAUCAAACAG
RNAcentral lists this ribosomal RNA (251 nucleotides) under uncultured prokaryote. RNAcentral describes it as "partial 16S rRNA". It matches the Rfam family "Bacterial small subunit ribosomal RNA", at positions 525 to 775 of the family's 1533-position model. The record is from RNAcentral.